UAAUACGGAGGGUGCAAGCGUUAUCCGGAUUCACUGGGUUUAAAGGGUGCGUAGGUGGGCUAGUAAGUCCGUGGUGAAAUCUCUGAGCUUAACUCGGAAACUGCCGUGGAUACUAUUAGUCUUGAAUCUCGUGGAGGUAAGCGGAAUAUGUCAUGUAGCGGUGAAAUGCUUAGAUAUGACAUAGAACACCGAUAGCGAAGGCAGCUUGCUACACGAGUAUUGACACUGAGGCACGAAAGCGUGGGGAUCAAACAGGAUUAGAUACCCUGGUAGUCCACGCCCUAAACGAUGGAUACUCGACAUACGCGAUACACAGUGUGUGUCUGAGCGAAAGCAUUAAGUAUCCCACCUGGGAAGUACGACCGCAAGGUUG
This 373-nucleotide ribosomal RNA is filed under the name uncultured bacterium. Its description in RNAcentral is "bacterial SSU rRNA". It matches the Rfam family "Bacterial small subunit ribosomal RNA", at positions 521 to 896 of the family's 1533-position model. The record is from RNAcentral.